This 450-nucleotide ribosomal RNA is filed under the name uncultured bacterium. RNAcentral's name for it is "partial 16S ribosomal RNA". It matches the Rfam family "Bacterial small subunit ribosomal RNA", at positions 354 to 796 of the family's 1533-position model. The record is from RNAcentral.
GUGGGGAAUAUUGCGCAAUGGGCGAAAGCCUGACGCAGCGACGCCGCGUGAGGGAUGAAGGUUUUCGGAUCGUAAACCUCUGUCAGAAGGGAAGAAACUACGUUGUGCUAAUCAGCAGCGUACUGACGGUACCUUCAAAGGAAGCACCGGCUAACUCCGUGCCAGCAGCCGCGGUAAUACGGAGGGUGCAAGCGUUAAUCGGAAUUACUGGGCGUAAAGCGCACGUAGGCUGUAGUGUAAGUCAGGGGUGAAAUCCCACGGCUCAACCGUGGAACUGCCUUUGAUACUGCACAACUUGAAUCCGGGAGAGGGUGGCGGAAUUCCAGGUGUAGGAGUGAAAUCCGUAGAUAUCUGGAGGAACAUCAGUGGCGAAGGCGGCCACCUGGACCGGUAUUGACGCUGAGGUACGAAAGCGUGGGGAGCAAACAGGAUUAGAUACCCCAGUAGUCC